Esox lucius (northern pike) is the source of this 136-nucleotide small nucleolar RNA. Lineage: Eukaryota; Metazoa; Chordata; Actinopteri; Esociformes; Esocidae. The record is from Ensembl.
CCAGGCACCUAUCGAAGCCGUUAUUGCUGUCUAGUAGCAGACACGGUCAACAGGAUGCCUAUAACAUCACUUUCACCGACGGUCGCUGUGCAGUUCGUCAGUAACUGACACCGCAACAUUAAGGGGAAGGACACUC